CAUGCGCGGAAAUCUCGGUUACAACAUGGAAACAGACAAUUGUGUCACUGAUGCGGAACUAAAAUGAGAAACAAAGUUAUAAAGAAAGGUUCAAUAUUUAACACAUUCGCGGAAUUCAAAAUCGUGGAUAUAUAGUCUAAGCAGCAUGGGGAUCGUGAGGUAUAAUUAGUAAAUCGAGGCCUCAUGCCAACCGAAAAUUUCUAAAAGCUCCACGGAAACAUUGUCCAGAUUGCAUAAAAAAAAAACAACAAAAGGAGGCAUCAAAAGAGACGAGAGAGGAGAAAAACCCUCACGAGAGAAAUCGAUUGGGAAGAGAUAAGUACCUGUAACUGGAAUUCACGAGAAACAGUUAGAGGGGCGUCGUUUUGUUGAAACAGUGGAAAUGAUGGAUACCAGAGGGAGUGUUCCGAUCUUCGCGCUCACGCUCCCCAAAAUCCGAUUAUAAAAAAGGCUGGCAGAGGUGACGUGUGCCGGUACUGCAACACCUAACCUACAGAAUACUAGUUCUUCAAACUUUUUCACGUUUUAUAAUU
RNAcentral lists this long non-coding RNA (533 nucleotides) under Vigna radiata. RNAcentral's name for it is "long non-coding RNA (VRAD_LNC003853)". The record is from RNAcentral. Lineage: Eukaryota; Viridiplantae; Streptophyta; Magnoliopsida; Fabales; Fabaceae.